GUAUGAGGAUUGAGAGUGUGAUCUUCUCUUAUAAUUUUCUUUUUUCUCAUAGUGAAAUUUGCAUGCCCCAUGGAAGUGAGCUUUUUAGCUGAUCCACGUAUUUGAUUGUUUCUAUUUUAUUUCUUCUUUUUUCCUGUUACAAUGCAUGAUAUCAAAAAGGUCCUAUGAAGGUCGUAUCCUGGCUAGACAUUUUCAACAAGUAGUAUUAGAGCG
Molecule: long non-coding RNA, 213 nt
Filed under: Elaeis guineensis (African oil palm)
Lineage: Eukaryota; Viridiplantae; Streptophyta; Magnoliopsida; Arecales; Arecaceae
Description: long non-coding RNA (EGUI_LNC043412)
Source: RNAcentral